RNAcentral lists this ribosomal RNA (413 nucleotides) under uncultured prokaryote. RNAcentral's name for it is "bacterial SSU rRNA". It matches the Rfam family "Bacterial small subunit ribosomal RNA", at positions 505 to 918 of the family's 1533-position model. The record is from RNAcentral.
GUGUCAGCAGCCGCGGUAAUACGUAGGGUGCGAGCGUUAAUCGGAAUUACUGGGCGUAAAGCGUGCGCAGGCGGUGAUGUAAGACAGAUGUGAAAUCCCCGGGCUCAACCUGGGAACUGCAUUUGUGACUGCAUCGCUGGAGUGCGGCAGAGGGGGAUGGAAUUCCGCGUGUAGCAGUGAAAUGCGUAGAUAUGCGGAGGAACACCGAUGGCGAAGGCAAUCCCCUGGGCCUGCACUGACGCUCAUGCACGAAAGCGUGGGGAGCAAACAGGAUUAGAUACCCUGAUAGUCCACGCCCUAAACGAUGUCAACUGGUUGUUGGGUCUUCACUGACUCAGUAACGAAGCUAACGCGUGAAGUUGACCGCCUGGGGAGUACGGCCGCAAGGUUGAAACUCAAAUGAAUUGACGGGG